GAAAUUCUUUAAUGGAGCUCAAUUUGAAUGGGCCAUUACAAAAAUAUAAAGCACAUCUCAUUUCUCAAGAAUUACUUAACGAUCAGACAUUGAUUAUACUGAGACCUUUUAAUUGCUUAACAACUACAUAUCGAGUUAUUUUAACUAUAAUUGUCAGAAGAAAUUAAACUUUGUGUCAAUUAGGUAUCAACAAUACCUUCUUGCAUGUUUAUAAAAUGAAAAAGUUUUAUCUGGAUCGAUUGAAAGAUUUUUUUACCACACAAGUACUACAUAUGUCUGCAAACUCACGAAGACAAUUUAUGGUCUUAAUUAGGCACCACAAGCUUGGUAUUCAAAACUACAUAGCUAUCUUCUAAACUUUGGUUUUCAAGUUUCUCAUAAUGAUCAUUGUCUUUUCAUUUACAGUCAGUUUGAUAUCACUAUUUUCUUAAUCAUUUAUGUUGAUGACUUGAUUGUUACUUGAGUAAUUAAAAUGUUCUCGAUCAGUUUGUUUUUGAGAUUCGGGUAACUUUUCUGCUAUGAACAAAAUUCAGCCUGAUGUGGACAUCAAGGUCACACAAGUAGUUAUUGUGCUGACAAGAGCUAUUGGACUUAGAACAACAAUAGGACCAAGUUAAUUAGGGAUUCGGGUUGAGUAGUUGGCAUGAAAUGGUUCUAUCAAAAAGGGUAGUGGUCUGUGAAUUAGGGAUUAUGCAAAUUCUUGAAAAAAAUAUCUAGUCCUCUCAUCCCCUUUCUUUGAGACUACUUCUCAUCUUCAAUUUUCUUCUAUCUUUAAUUACUUGUUAUUUCUAUAUUUUCAUUGUAAGUAGUUUGAUUAUUGCAACUAGAAUUGUAAGAUUGUAAUCGUAUUUUAGUGCUCUUAUUAAUAUAGCGAGGAUUUCGGUUUGUUACAUUGGUGCUUUCAUUGAGAGUACUCUAAUGGAAGUGGUAGUUUUAGAUCGAUUUUGUGGCAACGCUGAUCCAGAGGAAUGGAUUUACAAGGCAGAGCGGUACUUUACUUAUCUAGACUUCUCUGAGGAACACUGGUUGCCUCUUCCUUCCUUCUAUCUUGAUGGUGAGGCCCUUGAGUGGUUCCGUUGGAUGUUUCGCAACAAACAAAUUUUUUGAUUGGAAAAGCCCUGCAUUUUUCGAAACGAACCGAUGCAAAGUCUCUUGAGGUGGACGCUCAACUUACCAGAAUUCUUGUUUUGCUACGGAAGAUGGAGGACAAAUGUUCUCCACAGGUUCUAAUAGAAGAUGUCUGGAUUAGUGCUGCUACAGUCCUAAGCAGAGAGAUUUCUCCUCCUUUGGCCGAAGAAAACUCAGUUGUGUUGAUAAUGUUGAGAGUCAUCCAGAGUUGUUUGGCACUUCUAUAGUUGAACAUUUAAGUCAUGUGGACAAUCUGUUCGAGGAAAUGUCUACCAGAGUUUUCACCAAAGAAGUACAGGAAACUUCUUCGGCCUCCAGAAUUUUAGCUGAUUUGGAAGAUAUUCAGCCACUCAAGUUGCUGCCCCAAUAUAGUCGAAGAGGUUCAACCUGAGACUCCAAUCGAAAUGCUUGAUGAUGACUCACCAGGCCCUGAACGCAGCAAGUCCAACUGCUCGAUGAAUGUUUCCAAAGAGAUAUGUCAAAGAGGUACAUUAGUGCGACGUAUGGGGAUCAUAGCUUUAGUAAACAGGAAAUUGAAUUUGAAAGAUUUGAUGACAGGUAUCUUCCUAAGUUUUUCAUAUGCUAAUUCCACAACUCAUGCAGAUACAAUGUACAAGGAUACAUUACAGUUGUUGGGAUCUAGUGACAAGUUUUGCUUCAUGUCAUAUGCUAAUUCCACAACUCAGGUUUGGGAUCCCGGUCAAAAUUUGCAUAUGAAUUCCUACACUGGAAAUAAUUGAAAAUAAAAUGGUUGACUCAGAGAUUAAUGGAAUAUCACUGACAACAAUUGAAGGUGAUAAUGUUGAUUCACAAAAGGAAGGAUCACAAUCUUCUCGUGAUGACUUGCGCUCAACUACGACUACCUCUACAUUAGUACCAACGGAAGACUGGAAAGACCUUGUUAGUUGUUGGGCUCUACCAUGGAGGACUAUUAAUAUGUUAUGAUCAGCAAGGGUCAAACAAAGGUUAGUGAGAAGUCUUAUAUGCGACCUCUGCAUAAGUCAAUAGGACAACGAAAUACAAAGCUUUGCUUUUUACUAUUGACAUCGACAUAUUAUGAGUUGCUUGAACCUUACAUGGACACUGUAUUUAAAUUGACCACUGAGGGAUCAGACAAAGAUGAGAAUGUUAUCGCUUUUCUAGAAAUAGAGCUUUGGAGUAAAGUCCUUAAACUAGAUGGUCUGCAAUGCUGUGAAAGGAAUAGCAGUUUUCGAUGGAUAAAUCACUUGUAGCUUGGUCUUAAAACACAAAUUUUCUCAUUGGAGGAAGACGAGUUGAUUGUUACUCUAUGUGUCAUUUUUGAACAGAGACGGGCUCAAAUUGCAACACAGUUAACAGAAACAUCACAAGAUCAACUGUUAUUUUUGGCAGGAAUGUUUCAUGGUUUGACAUUGGGAGUGUGUUGAUGGGUUAUGGAAGUUGGGUUAUUUCGUUCAUGGUAUCGACAUGUAUAACUGAAAUAACACCUAAGCAUUUUCGAGACUCAUUCACCAUUAUCAAUCAACUAACGAUAUGUUGCAGAAGAUCACUUAUAAUACAACUUUUCGGCCUAUGUUUUAUACAAGAUUCUCCUAGAUAGCUGGCCAAGGCUACUCACUGGAAAGCAUGCACAACUUCUCUUCCGCCCUUUAAGAGGAACACUGUCUAUAUAUCAUCAUCAAGUACUUCAGUAGAAGAAUUCAUAUCAAUCCUUCAAACCACUCUCCAAAGUUAAGAUGCUUGAUUUGAUGUUUGUUCUCUAGUAUUUAAAGUUGGAUUAGUGGUAUUGCAUCAAAUUGGUCAAGUUAAAGCUGCUUCAUAUUGUGCAAUUAUAUUUGUACUUGUACCAGAAAAGUACAUAUCAUUCUUGCCCAUUCUUGAAGUUUAUGUGAAGAAGAAUACACUCACUAGUGUUAUUAGCGCAUACAGGACUACUGAUUUCUUCUUGAUAUCCAUUUGGACCUGCCAACCAGUGGCCUUUGUACUUGUGGAAGUUUCAGUAGCUACAUCUAGCUUAUAACUGUCUUUUGUUGUGGGAUUUCCUUACUCGAACCUUUUGAACAAGGUUCUUAUUGAGGACGAGAGUAUUGUUAUGAACGAAGUUCAGCCUGAUGUGGACACCAAGGUCACACAAGUAGUUAUUGGGCUGACAAGAGCUAUUGGGCCUAGAACGAGCAAUAGGGCCAAGUUAAUUUGGGAUCCGGGUUGAGUAGUUGGCAUGAAAUGGUUCCACCAAAAAGGGUAGUGAUAUGUGAAUUAGGGAUUAUGCAAAUUGUUGAGAAAAAUGUCUAAUCCUCUCAUCCCCUUUCUUUGAGUCUACUUCUCAUCUUCAAUCUUCUCCUAUCUUUAAUUACUUGUUAUUUCUAUAUUUUCAUUGUAAGUUGGUAGUUUGAUUUUGCAACUAGAAUCGUAAGAUUGUAAUUGUGUUUUAGUGCUCUUAUUAAUAUAGCGAGGAUUUUGGUUUGUUACAA
Long non-coding RNA from Solanum pennellii, 3578 nucleotides. RefSeq lists it as uncharacterized. The record is from RefSeq and is a predicted model, not a curated record. Lineage: Eukaryota; Viridiplantae; Streptophyta; Magnoliopsida; Solanales; Solanaceae. The transcript has 2 exons.